GUGCUCACUUCGGCAGCACAUAUACUAAAAUUGGAACAAUACAGAGAAGACUAGCAUGGCCCCUGCUCAAGGAUGACACGCAGAUUCAUGAAGUGUUCCAUAUUAAA
This is a small nuclear RNA of Erinaceus europaeus (western European hedgehog), 107 nucleotides long. Lineage: Eukaryota; Metazoa; Chordata; Mammalia; Eulipotyphla; Erinaceidae. The record is from Ensembl.